RNAcentral lists this ribosomal RNA (261 nucleotides) under uncultured bacterium. Its description in RNAcentral is "partial 16S ribosomal RNA". It matches the Rfam family "Bacterial small subunit ribosomal RNA", at positions 793 to 1055 of the family's 1533-position model. The record is from RNAcentral.
GUCCACGCCGUAAACGAUGGGUACUAGGUGUUCGGGUAUUGACCCCCUGAGUGCCGCAGCUAACGCAUUAAGUACCCCGCCUGGGGACUACGGCCGCAAGGCUAAACUCAAAGGAAUUGACGGGGCCCGCACAAGCGGUGGAGCAUGUGGUUUAAUUCGACGCAACGCGAAGAACCUUACCUGGGCUAGACAACAUCGGACAGCCCCAGAAAUGGGGUCUCCCCGCAAGGGGCCGUGGUUCAGGUGCUGCAUGGCUGUCGU